AUGUCGGCGCCGGUGAGCAUCUGGACGACCUGCUUGAAGGAGGCGGUGUCGGCCUGGACGAAGGUGGUGGGGAAGGGGGUGGUGUCGAUGGUGCGCGGCACGGGCCUCGGGGACGGCGGCAGCGGGCUGGGGCGGUGGUGGGAGGGCGACGCGGCGGAGGACGGCGAGGAGGAGGAGGUGGAGGAGGACGGGGAGUUGGGGUCCCGCGGCGCCAUGGGGAGGAGUUGCUUGGGCGCGGCAACUUCCAUUGUUGGUUGGUUGGUUUCGUCGGGGAUGGAUGAAGGAGGGAGGAAGGGGGGAAGGGGCUGGGUUCAGGGACGGCAGAGGGAGUGGGAAUAA
RNAcentral lists this ribosomal RNA (339 nucleotides) under Triticum aestivum (bread wheat). Its description in RNAcentral is "partial small subunit ribosomal RNA". The record is from RNAcentral. Lineage: Eukaryota; Viridiplantae; Streptophyta; Magnoliopsida; Poales; Poaceae.